AGGAGGACAUGAGGAAAACUCCCCUCGCAGGGAGGUACUUCAUACCGAACGACGUGACAGUUGCUGGUCAAUGAGUGGAAUAGGUUUCAGGUCAUUAGGGCUAGGUUCCGGGUCACAGCUUUGUACCAAUGGAAAUGCAGCAGAGCGCUGGGUUAUGCAAAGCAGGACUGAGGCUGUUGCCGCUGGUAACCUUAAUGAGCACAUUGCCGUGGCGCUGACAAGGCUGCAGGAGGACAUGACUAACAUGCUUCAGAGGGUGAACACUCUGGAGGCCCUGACCACAUUACAGGUGGUCGACGGGUAGCUUGUACAUCUGUAGGUGAACAAUGAAGGAAGGCAAGGUGAAAGUUUGUACAAGAGGGCUUUAUAAAC
Long non-coding RNA from Coregonus clupeaformis (lake whitefish), 372 nucleotides. RefSeq lists it as uncharacterized. The transcript has 3 exons. Lineage: Eukaryota; Metazoa; Chordata; Actinopteri; Salmoniformes; Salmonidae. The record is from RefSeq and is a predicted model, not a curated record.